GCCAGGCGUGAUGGUGCACGCCUGUAAUCCCAGCAGCUAGGGAGGCUGAGACAGGAUGAUCACGAGUCUCAAAGCCAGCCUCAGCAAAAGUGAGGUGCUAAGCAACUCAGUGAGACCCUGUCUCUA
Molecule: small RNA, 126 nt
Filed under: Marmota monax (woodchuck)
Lineage: Eukaryota; Metazoa; Chordata; Mammalia; Rodentia; Sciuridae
Source: RNAcentral